GACGAACGCUGGCGGCGUGCUUAACACAUGCAAGUCGAACGGAAAGGCCCCUUUGGGGGUCCUCGAGUGGCGAACGGGUGAGUAACACGUGAGUAACCUGCCCUUGACUUCGGGAUAACUUCAGGAAACUGGGGCUAAUACCGGAUAGGAAUCCUUGCUGCAUGGUGGGGGUUGGAAAGCUUCGGCGGUUUUGGAUGGACUCGCGGCUAAUCAGCUUGUUGGUGGGGUAGUGGCUUACCAAGGCUUUGACGGGUAGCCGGCCUGAGAGGGCGACCGGCCACAUUGGGACUGAGAUACGGCCCAGACUCCUACGGGAGGCAGCAGUGGGGAAUAUUGCACAAUGGGCGGAAGCCUGAUGCAGCAACGCCGCGUGCGGGAUGACGGCCUUCGGGUUGUAAACCGCUUUCAGCAGGGGCGAAGCUUGUGGUGACGGUACCUGCAGAAGAAGCACCGGCUAACUACGUG
Molecule: ribosomal RNA, 465 nt
Filed under: uncultured bacterium
Lineage: Bacteria
Description: partial 16S ribosomal RNA
Rfam family: Bacterial small subunit ribosomal RNA
Source: RNAcentral